UACGAAGGGGGCUAGCGGUGUUCGGAAUCACUGGGCGUAAAGCGCACGCAGGCGGAUCGAUAAGUCGGGGGUGAAAGCCCGGGGCUCAACCUCGGAAUUGCCUUCGAUACUGUCGGUCUUGAGUCCGGGAGAGGUGAGUGGAAUUCCUAGUGUAGAGGUGAAAUUCGUAGAUAUUAGGAAGAACACCAGUGGCGAAGGCGGCUCCCUGUCCCGGUACUGACGCUCAGGUGCGAAAGCGUGGGGAGCAAACAGG
Molecule: ribosomal RNA, 253 nt
Filed under: uncultured bacterium
Lineage: Bacteria
Description: partial 16S ribosomal RNA
Rfam family: Bacterial small subunit ribosomal RNA
Source: RNAcentral